This 637-nucleotide ribosomal RNA is filed under the name uncultured marine eukaryote. Its description in RNAcentral is "SSU rRNA". It matches the Rfam family "Eukaryotic small subunit ribosomal RNA", at positions 618 to 1258 of the family's 1831-position model. The record is from RNAcentral.
GUUAAAAAGCUCGUAGUUGGAUUUCUGUCGGUGAGGUUCAGUCCGCCCUCUGUGGUUGGUACGUGAUCCGCCACCGGCAUCUUCCUGGGGAAUGUGUCUGCUCUUUAUUGAGUGGUACAUAAGCCAGGACUUUUACUUUGAAGAAAUGAGAGUGUUUCAAGCAGGCAUGCGCCGUGAAUACGUUAGCAUGGGAUAAUAGCAUCGGACCUCGUUCCAAAGCUGUUGGUUUCUUGGACCGAGGUAAAGGUGAAUAGGGAUUGUUGGGGGCAUUCGUAUUUGACUGUCAGAGGUGAAAUUCUUGGAUUUGUUGAAGACGGACUACUGCGAAAGCAUCUGCCAAAGAUGUUCUCAUUGAUCAAGAACGAAAGUUAGGUGAUCGAAGACGAUCAGAUACCGUCCUAGUCUUAACCAUAAACUAUGCCGACUGGAGAUCGGGGGUCGUUAAUUAUGUGACGCCCUCUGCAUCUUGAGAGAAAUCAAAGUCUUUGGGUUCCGGGGGGAGUAUGGUCGCAAGGCUGAAACUUAAAGGAAUUGACGGAAGGGCACCACCAGGAGCGGAGCCUGCGGCUUAAUUUGACUCAACACGGGGAAACUUACCAGGUCAAGACAUAGAGGGGAUUGACAGACUGACAGCUCU